RNAcentral lists this ribosomal RNA (270 nucleotides) under uncultured Sphingobacteriales bacterium. Its description in RNAcentral is "partial 16S ribosomal RNA". It matches the Rfam family "Bacterial small subunit ribosomal RNA", at positions 1113 to 1382 of the family's 1533-position model. Lineage: Bacteria; Pseudomonadati; Bacteroidota; Sphingobacteriia; Sphingobacteriales. The record is from RNAcentral.
AGUUGCCAUCAGGUUAAGCUGGGGACUCUAAAGGAACUGCCUACGCAAGUAGUGAGGAAGGCGGGGAUGACGUCAAAUCAGCACGGCCCUUACGUCCAGGGCUACACACGUGCUACAAUGGCCGACACAGAGGGCAGCUACCUGGUGACAGGAUGCAAAUCUCCAAAGUCGGUCUCAGUUCGGAUCGGAGUCUGCAACCCGACUCCGUGAAGUUGGAUUCGCUAGUAAUCGCGCAUCAGCCAUGGCGCGGUGAAUACGUUCCCGGGCCUU